This 251-nucleotide long non-coding RNA is filed under the name Salvia miltiorrhiza (redroot sage). RNAcentral describes it as "long non-coding RNA (SMIL_LNC013107)". Lineage: Eukaryota; Viridiplantae; Streptophyta; Magnoliopsida; Lamiales; Lamiaceae. The record is from RNAcentral.
AUUUCUUUGAUCCCUCUGAUCUCGCUGAUCUCUCUGAUCCCGCUGAUCCCUCUGAUCAGUCCUCCUCUGACCUUCAUUUCCCCUGUCAAUGAAGUGGUCGAGACAUCCCUGGCGCACCAAUAACUCCAAUUGGUGCUUAAGAUGUCCACAAUAUUUCGUGUAAUGCCCGAAGGAAUUGUGAUAUUCACACAACUUAUUGUUAGGCCCUUCCUGCGGCGGCCCAGUCCGGUAGGUCCCCGGUGCCCUAAAGA